Molecule: long non-coding RNA, 1186 nt
Organism: Bombus terrestris (buff-tailed bumblebee)
Lineage: Eukaryota; Metazoa; Arthropoda; Insecta; Hymenoptera; Apidae
Exons: 3
Source: RefSeq, a predicted model, not a curated record
GGACUAAAACAGAAUAGCAGUAGGCUCGAUGCACUUGUAACGAAGAGUCGCGUCAAGUAUCAUUAUACCAUUUUUGCUGCCUUGACUUUUCAAGUUGCAAUUAGGAACUGCAAUAGUGAACAUUGAGGGACACGAGUGAAAGACAGAAAAACUGCAAAGUGACACCGAAAUAGGUGGUCCAGCUGUUGUCAGUCUGGUCUUCUCAAAGAUCAAGAAUGUUAUGCAAACAUAGAUCUGGAAAUUCCCGCCUUUGAAAAUCAUUUCUUGGUCUUCUCGGGGAGGCGACCCCACUACGCUCGGAUCACGCCACCAUUCGCGCCUAUCAUCACAUAUGCCGCAUUCUUUUGAAACAACAGACCGAAAUCGACGUUUUUGGAAGUCGCUGCUUGGCGACAACUAUGCGCUCGUCGAUACAUUGUAUGCUGCUCGUCGGGUAGAUAAGGUGAUCCGCCAGCGACAUUAUAGGACCGCAAGCGACAUCCAGAAACGCGACCCAUACUAAAAUCUCGCAGCGUAAUAAAGCGUACACCUCCCUCUUUUUUUGAUACUACAUAUAUAUGUAUUAUACAUAAAUAUUAUAUUAUGUUACCAAUGAACGAAUAGAAAAUUUUAUUUUCACAAUAGUCAAGUAAAAUUAUAUAUAUAUCUAUUGAACUUUCACAAUUAGGCUUGUCCAACAAGUUUCAUAUAAAUAGGUAGACUGCAGAUAUUUAUGCAAAUUUAUAUUUUUAUGAAUAUAAUUGAUAGAGUAUAGGACAUGAAAAAAGAUUUGUUUCAUUUAUUAUAUAUAGUAACGUGCAUUAUGCUGGUUUUUAUUCUUACGCGUUGUGUUCAUUCUAUGAAUAGAUUUUUUCCCUUAAAAUUUCUCAUAAAUGCAUAAAAAUGCUCGGUCGAUCGACAAGUCUAGGUAAGUUUGGGUAUUAUAGUUGUGUUUAGAAGUUUUUAUGUAUAACAUUUUAAUCUUCAAAUUCAUUAGCGUUUCUGUAAAUGAUAAUAAAUAAUUCAUAACAAAACUCAUUUAAAAUGACAAUAUGCUAUAAAUUAUAACAAUCAUUCUGUCGGUAUUAAAAGGCAUUUCUUUAUCAGCAAAUUUUUCACUUGUAUCAUAUCAAAUAGAUAAAUAUAGACGUAUGUAUAAUAAUGUAUUUCUUCCUCAUUCUUUCUUGUUUAUCCUGGAUAUUUGUAU